UCUGUUCCCCAAUCCAGCCACGAAAUUAAGCUCCAAAAACACCCUUAAACCAGUCAAAAAUAGCUCCAAAUUCGCCCCAAAUAAUCACUGAAAAGCGCAGCUGAAACAAAUCCGAAAUCUAACUGCGUCGCACCACAAAACCUCCUCGUUUCCUCCCUUAAAAUCAGCCAUGUGAGAUAGCCAGAUCCAGUGCAAAACGGCCCCUGAAAUCUCCAUUGAAAUAAGCCAAAUAAAGCUCCAAAAGUGCAACUGGAAAGGGCACAAAAACAGUCCCAAACCUAACCCGAAACAGCCCUCUAUUAAGCCCAACGAAACAUUCUUGUAAUCGUUGCAUUUCAGCUAUAAGGAAAGUGCCUCGUUUUCUUUUCACUUCUGGAUUUUGACAAGUUUUUAGGCUGCUAAAGAAGUUGUUAUGAGGUCUAAUUGAAGCAAGUCGAGAUUCUGAGGUCUCCGAUGUGAGAUUCAGUCCAAGAUCCGGUUGUCGACUCAUGUAUCGACUCUUGAACCGUCCGGAGGUCAUGUCACCCGAGAAGUGCGUUUUAGAGUAUCGAUUGUCGUCUUUGAGGUAAGUAUCUGGCCAUACCUUAUGAAGGGGACUUCCCCUUAGGAUUUGAGUCUUACCUGUUACUUGUAUUCCUUGUACGCGAGGUAACGAGUGUGUACUCGGAUUUAUUUGUGGUAAAUUAUCCCUUUUAGGCUACUAGACUCUUGAAAUCACCGAGCAUGAAGAUGAUAUGGAUACGAUUGAGUUUCCUGUUAUUAGUUUCACUUCUAUAUGUGUUACUUGGUAUUUGUUUGACCUUCUUGAUUUAUUCUUGCUGUUUAAUGGACCUUUACGUGCUUAACUGAAGACAAUUACCCUUCUAUAGUCAUAUUACCCGNNNNNNNNNNNNNNNNNNNNNNNNNNNNNNNNNNNNNNNNNNNNNNNNNNNNNNNNNNNNNNNNNNNNNNNNNNNNNNNNNNNNNNNNNNNNNNNNNNNNNNNNNNNNNNNNNNNNNNNNNNNNNNNNNNNNNNNNNNNNNNNNNNACUUAAAUGGAAAGAAGAUAGAUAUCUUAUGAUUAGUUGUUAUUUCCUUAAAUUGUAAUUAUUUGAUUCAUGUUGACUUCUUACUGUUGGUUACUCCUUUAUUGUAAACUCAUCUGUAACUUCGUGCAAUUAUACUACAUGUCCAACUGUUGUGGUAUCGGUGUAGUUAUUAUGCACUUAUUAUGUCUUGUUGUCGUCGAGGUUAUUGUUCUUGGUGUUCUGUGGCCAUAGUAGAUAAUGUUGAUUUCCCUUGCCGGGACGUUAUUGUUUCCGUUGUUGAUUCCGUUGCUAGGACCUUAUUAUUUCCGUUGUUGAUUCCCUUGCCGGGACAUUACUGUUUCUGUUACUGAUUCCCUUGCCGGGACGUUAUUGGUUCUGUUGUUGAUUCCCUUACCGGGACAUUAUCGUCUCAAUUGUUGAUUCCCUGUUGGUACUUUGAUGCACGAGGUCUCUGCCGUGCGGUUGUUGUUGGAGAGUUGCACGAGUUCUUUGCCGUGUUAUUGUGACUAUUGAUGUUUUUGCACAUGUGGCAUAAUAAGGCGGGAUAUGUUAUAUGCUUAUAUGUGGAUUGCACAUGUGGUGGAAUAAGGUGGGAAUAUUGUGAUGCACGCGUGGCGAAAUAAGGCGGUUCUUGCUACAUUGUUAUUGGUUGCACACGUGGCGAAAUAAGGUGGGCUAUGUCAGGGGCUGAUUGUGAUGAAUUGUGAAGGCCCGUGGAGGCAUUUUUCCUAUUUUUGUUUAUUAUUGGUAUGUUGGACUAUGGGUUCAAUUCCCGAGAGAUCCUUCGUUAUUGGUAUAAUGGACUACGGAUUCAAUUCCCGGGAGAUUCUCUGUUAUUGAUAUGAUGGACUACAGGUUCAAUUCCCCGGAGAUCCUCUGUAUUGGUAUGAUGGACUACAAGUUCGAUUCCCGGGAGAUCCCCAUUAAACUCAUUGUGUUCUGAACUGGCAUUUUCAUUGAUUCUAUCCGGGUGUGAAUAAGCCGAGUGCUAGUCGAUCCUUUUUUCUUAUGCUUACCAGUUGGUAGGAUUCCUGUUAGAUACACUUGCACAAGCACACACGUAGUUGGACCCUCCUAUUAGAGAUGAAUCCCUCCUGUUUUGGCUAGGGGUGAGGAUGUGCCCUUGUUUACCCAUUAUAUAUGUGAAAGUAACCCUAGUUGACUAGUUAGAUGUCAGCAUGACCGUGUUAUUGGUGGGGCACUAGAUGCUGGGUUUUCAUGAGCCGUGGCUGGUCUGAGAGUUCGUGGUAGAAUUAUGGAGAGAGUUCGGAAGAACUUAUGCAAGAUCAUUGCAGAAUAAUGAGUUUGUGACUUGUCUUUCCUUGUUGUGUUGCGACUUCAGGAUUUGGAUUGUAAUGUCGAUUGUCCUUUUAUUAUCAUCGUUGUGUAUUUCUCGUUGUUACUUGUUAUCCGUUAGUUUAUUCUGAUUGUAGCUCUUUUAGUCAUUCGUGUUGUCUUUACAUAGUAUAUAUAUCGUUUAUAUUAUCCCUAUGAUUAUACUGUUUAUUGACCGGUAGGUGUCUUGACUGUCCCUCGUCACUACUCCAUCGAGGUUAGUCUUGAUACUUACUGGGCACCGCUGUGGUGUGCUCAUGGAUUAUACUGUUUAUUGACCGGUAGGUGUCUUGACUGUCCCUCAUCACUGCUCCAUCGAGGUUAGUCUUGAUACUUACUGGGCAUGCUGUGGGUGCUCAUGCUACUCUUCUGCACACUUUUGUUGUGCAGAUACAGGUACCCUCAUUCAAGUUUUGUCAGCCUUGGAGGGUGGCGUACAGCCGGAGACUUGAGGUAUUUAUCUACCACGUCCGCAGGACCGAGGAGUCUCCUUCUACUCUACCUUUUAAUUGGCAGUUCCAUUUCAUGUAUUAGGUUGCCGUAGACAUUCCGGGUAUUAGAGCCGUAAGUUAUGCCUUAUUCUUAGCCUGUGUUGCUCGUGCGUUUCCGGGUCUUGGAGGUUGUUACAGUUAUUCGAGUUGAAGUGUAUGUGCCAGGCGGCACUCUACAUAUUUUAUAAUGAUAUUCAGUAUUUGUUUAUUGUUUUCGUAAAGGUUGUUAAAUUUUCGCAACGUGUUAGGCUUACCUAGUCGCGAAGACUGGGCGCCGUCGUGACAGGUUCACGAUUGGUGAACUAGGGUCGUGACACUGUCAAUGUAUGGUUCUCACUAUGUUAAUUUAAGGUAGCACGUUGUGCUAUUGCUGGCAAAGAGUCAGAACUCAAACCAAUUACAAAUUCAUCAUAUGCCUUGGUGCUUCAUUCUACCGCUACCUGGAGUACGUUAUGCACUCAGCCAAAACA
This 3323-nucleotide long non-coding RNA is filed under the name Nicotiana benthamiana. RNAcentral's name for it is "long non-coding RNA (NBEN_LNC009965)". Lineage: Eukaryota; Viridiplantae; Streptophyta; Magnoliopsida; Solanales; Solanaceae. The record is from RNAcentral.